This 96-nucleotide signal recognition particle RNA is filed under the name Oscillospiraceae bacterium. RNAcentral describes it as "signal recognition particle sRNA small type". It matches the Rfam family "Bacterial small signal recognition particle RNA". From Rfam's summary of the family: The signal recognition particle (SRP) is a universally conserved ribonucleoprotein involved in the co-translational targeting of proteins to membranes. Archaeal SRP consists of a 7S RNA and homologues of the eukaryotic SRP19 and SRP54 proteins. Lineage: Bacteria; Bacillati; Bacillota; Clostridia; Eubacteriales; Oscillospiraceae. The record is from RNAcentral.
GGACAAGCACUGUGCGGCUAGAUGCCGUGAACCAUGUCAGGCGGGGAACCGAGCAGCAUUAAGUGGAUUUUCUAUGCGCGAUUCAGCUUAGUUUGU